GCAUUGGUGGUUCAAUGGUAGAAUUUUUGCCUCCCAUGCGGGACAGCCAGGUUCAAUUCCUGGCUAAUGCA
RNAcentral lists this transfer RNA (71 nucleotides) under Loxodonta africana (African savanna elephant). It matches the Rfam family "tRNA". From Rfam's summary of the family: Transfer RNA (tRNA) molecules are approximately 80 nucleotides in length. Their secondary structure includes four short double-helical elements and three loops (D, anti-codon, and T loops). Lineage: Eukaryota; Metazoa; Chordata; Mammalia; Proboscidea; Elephantidae. The record is from Rfam by way of RNAcentral.